RNAcentral lists this ribosomal RNA (245 nucleotides) under uncultured bacterium. RNAcentral's name for it is "partial small subunit ribosomal RNA". It matches the Rfam family "Bacterial small subunit ribosomal RNA", at positions 26 to 285 of the family's 1533-position model. The record is from RNAcentral.
AGAAUCAACGCUGGCGGCGUGCCUAACACAUGCAAGUCGCACGAGAAAGGGUAGCAAUACCUGAGUAAAGUGGCGCACGGGUGAGUAACACGUGAAUUAUCUACCUCCGAGUGGGGAAUAACUGAGAGAAAUCUUAGCUAAUACCGCAUAACACUUACGAGUCAAAGGAGCAAUUCGCUUAAGGAGGGGGUCGCGGCAGAUUAGUUAGUUGGCGGGGUAAUGGCCCACCAAGACGGUGAUCUGUA